RNAcentral lists this non-coding RNA (30 nucleotides) under Homo sapiens (human). The record is from RNAcentral. Lineage: Eukaryota; Metazoa; Chordata; Mammalia; Primates; Hominidae.
UNCUAGGGACAGGGGUAGGACCAGGUGUGC